RNAcentral lists this ribosomal RNA (536 nucleotides) under uncultured bacterium. Its description in RNAcentral is "partial 16S ribosomal RNA". It matches the Rfam family "Bacterial small subunit ribosomal RNA", at positions 355 to 879 of the family's 1533-position model. The record is from RNAcentral.
UGGGGAAUCUUCCGCAAUGGACGAAAGUCUGACGGAGCAACGCCGCGUGUAUGAUGAAGGUCUUCGGAUUGUAAAGUACUGUCAUUGGGGAAGAACGGUUUUCUUGAGAAUAUUGAGAAGACAUGACGGUACCCAAGGAGGAAGCCCCGGCUAACUACGUGCCAGCAGCCGCGGUAAUACGUAGGGGGCAAGCGUUGUCCGGAAUUAUUGGGCGUAAAGGGCGCGUAGGCGGGCCUUUAAGUCCGGUGUGAAAGAUCAGGGCUCAACCCUGAGAGUGCAUCGGAAACUGGAGGCCUUGAGGACAGGAGAGGAAAGUGGAAUUCCACGUGUAGCGGUGAAAUGCGUAGAUAUGUGGAGGAACACCAGUGGCGAAGGCGACUUUCUGGACUGUAACUGACGCUGAGGCGCGAAAGCGUGGGGAGCAAACAGGAUUAGAUACCCUGGUAGUCCACGCCGUAAACGAUGAGUGCUAGGUGUAGAGGGUAUCGACCCCCUUCUGUGCCGCAGUUAACACAAUAAGCACUCCCGCCUGGGGA